Long non-coding RNA from Gallus gallus (chicken), 1993 nucleotides. The record is from Ensembl. Lineage: Eukaryota; Metazoa; Chordata; Aves; Galliformes; Phasianidae.
AUUAAAGAGGCAGCAUUGUGUUGUUAGGUUGUUAUGUGUAACUUGUGCUCAUACAUUAAGAAAAAUGUAGCUGGCAUUCCCUUGGACAUGACCAGACCCCUUAAAAAAAGAGAGAAUUAUUAAUAGUUGGUUGUAAGGCAUUUGUAGAACACUUCUGAAAUUCUGACCUUUAGUGCAUUAACUAGCUGUUUUUAUCCAGCUCCCAGGCAGAGUAAGAUCUACAGUAGCCUGCCUAGGAAAUAGAAAUAAUGGGCAUAUUAGUGGGACUUGUUAAGCCUUCCUCUCCUGAACAGUGUCUCUUCUACCUUUAUUGCUGGACACAGCUUUGCAAUGAAUCUGUUGUGCUAAACAGCAGCAUUAACAGCACUGGACAUCAAGAAGGUUUCAAAAGUCCUUUACAUAGAGGUUCCUGGGGUUUUUGAGUGUCCAGUCUUCUCUCUCCUUGCAUUUUGGCCACUGGUUGUGCUCCUCGGAGGCCAUUUCAUCAUGUUGUAAGAUAAACCACAGAACACUGAGCAGGGCUGCAGCUGCUUCCCAGGACAGUAAAAGCGAUGGGUCAAAUGAAGAAGAAAACAUCUCUGCAUGGUGGGCCUAUAAAAUGUGCAUUUCAGGGGUAGUGCGGGAAUCCGCGGUACACACUUCUGGCUAACAGCUGGUUGCCAUGUCCUACAAAUGCUUUUCCUGCUGCAAGCACAUUGGAAGGUGUUUUAAGGCCAGUGUUGGCUAAGGAGGAUUGGCCUGAAAGGCAACUGAAGGACCACAGGACCAUUCAAUACCAAAGGGCAAUUCUGUGCGCAGAAUAAUUCCUGGAGGAGGGGCCUAUUCUAUUUCAUGUAUUUCCCAGAGUUUCAUAGUGCUCUGUAAGAAAUAACAGUACAUUAUAUAUCACAGAAUCACAGAACCAUGGAAUGGUUUGGGUUGGAAAGGACCUUAAAGACCAACCAGUUCCAACCCCCUGCUCCAGGCAUGGUUGCCACCCACUAGAUGCGUUAAUUUACAUUACUCACCAGUUUCUUAGAGGGACACUUUGUAAGACAGGCUUGAGCAAGGUUCAAAGUCUGCCUCUGUCCCUCUUCACGUGUUUCCUCAAGGGCAAGCUGCUGGAAUCACACAUCCCUUGCAUCUUUUUGCUGCUUCCUUCCCUACAGCACAGGAGAGGCUUCUGAAUGUGUGCAUCUGGACCACACUAAUACUUUUAAUAGGCUUUAAGGUUCCUGCCUGACACCUUCUCAGCAUGAAAUCCUUCACUUCACAAUACUUUGGAAAUAUUUUUAUUGAGAUCCCAGUGGCCAUAGCACAAGGGGCAUUCAAAAGGAUGCAACUUGCUGGGCUGCAGUGAUGGGAGGACUGGGCUCAGCCCUGGGCACGCUCCACCACCCUGUGCCCUGCCAGGCUUUCUUCUGCUGCCCUCCUUGGAGCUGCCCUCUGUCUGCAAGUUGAAAGAAAACUGAGGCCACAUUGUAGGGCCAGCAGCAGGAAAGUACAGUGCGAGAAGUGCUUGUCACCAUGAAUAAACAAUGAAAUGCAUUUUUUUUAAGUUGCUAAUUCCACUUGGCAUUUCUGAGUUCAGCAUUGCAAACAUCCAUCUUGUUAAAAAGUGAUGUCAUUUGCGACAGCAGUAGCAUUAGAAGAGACUGCAAACAUGUUCUCAACCUGUUUUAAUAAUGAUAUAACAACCAGGAAAGUUGUCAAUAUUUUAGGGAGAAAUUUUCUUCUGUGCCUCUACCAGACUCCAUCUGUGCCCAUGUGGAGCAGUGUCUAUGGAUGUGCAGGUGAAAUUAUGAGUGCAUGUGUCAAACAUGUGCAUGUGAAAUAUUACACUGGCAACACUUAAUGUUCUGAACUAAAUUAAAAGUCCCUUCAUCUUUCUCCAGUCUCUGAUAAAAUCAAUCCCACCUAUUUCUCCAGUGAAUCUGUAAAAUAAACCUUCAUAUCAUAUUUUUGUGUUUAAAAGCAACAAAAAAAAAAAGGGGGGGGGGGGGGGGGGGAGGGG